AAUGCUCUGAUACCACUUGUUGAAAAAAGUUUAGAUUCAAAUAUGCAAAAUUAAAAUAAUAACAAGCAAGAAGUUACUUUUAUUGUCUCUAGAUGAUUAAGGUAAUUAAUCCAAUUAACCCUAAGUCUAAACGAUUAACAAACACUGAGAUCAAAAGUUAGAAAAGUUAACUUACAAUUAAUCUAGACAUCGCUAAACCUUAGCUGACUCUGACCACUUAACUUGUAAAUCACCAAGAAAUUCCUUCGAUUGUACGACACGCACUUCCCAAAAAUUUUGAGCUACUUUUCCCUCCAUGUAGACCACCAAGGACGAACCCGUUCCGAAGCACAUGAAUUCCAACCGUCUCUUUU
This 353-nucleotide long non-coding RNA is filed under the name Olea europaea (common olive). Its description in RNAcentral is "long non-coding RNA (OEUR_LNC004536)". Lineage: Eukaryota; Viridiplantae; Streptophyta; Magnoliopsida; Lamiales; Oleaceae. The record is from RNAcentral.